This 272-nucleotide ribosomal RNA is filed under the name uncultured prokaryote. Its description in RNAcentral is "partial 16S ribosomal RNA". It matches the Rfam family "Bacterial small subunit ribosomal RNA", at positions 524 to 796 of the family's 1533-position model. The record is from RNAcentral.
UACGGAGGGAGCUAGCGUUGUUCGGAAUUACUGGGCGUAAAGCGCACGUAGGCGGUUACUCAAGUCAGAGGUGAAAGCCCGGGGCUCAACCCCGGAACUGCCUUUGAAACUAGGUGACUGGAAUCUUGGAGAGGCGAGUGGAAUUCCGAGUGUAGAGGUGAAAUUCGUAGAUAUUCGGAAGAACACCAGUGGCGAAGGCGACUCGCUGGACAAGUAUUGACGCUGAGGUGCGAAAGCGUGGGGAGCAAACAGGAUUAGAUACCGUGUAGUCC